AACGAACGCUGGCGGCAUGCCUAACACAUGCAAGUCGAACGAGACCUUCGGGUCUAGUGGCGCACGGGUGCGUAACGCGUGGGAACCUGCCCUUAGGUUCGGAAUAACUCCCCGAAAGGGGUGCUAAUACCGGAUAAUGUCUUCGAACCAAAGAUUUAUCGCCUUUGGAUGGGCCCGCGUUGGAUUAGCUAGUUGGUAGGGUAAAAGCCUACCAAGGCGACGAUCCAUAGCUGGUCUGAGAGGAUGAUCAGCCACACUGGGAGUGAGACACGGCCCAGACUCCUACGGGAGGCAGCAGUGGGCAAUAGUGGACAAUGGGCGAGAGCCUGAUCCAGCAACGCCGCGUGAGUGAUGAAGGCCUUAGGGUUGUAAAGCUCUUUUACCCGGGAUGAUAAUGACAGUACCGGGAGAAUAAGCUCCGGCUAACUCCGUG
Molecule: ribosomal RNA, 433 nt
Filed under: uncultured bacterium
Lineage: Bacteria
Description: partial 16S ribosomal RNA
Rfam family: Bacterial small subunit ribosomal RNA
Source: RNAcentral